Non-coding RNA from Bactrocera oleae (olive fruit fly), 1407 nucleotides. The record is from RefSeq and is a predicted model, not a curated record. NCBI's taxonomy places the organism in Eukaryota, Metazoa, Arthropoda, Insecta, Diptera, Tephritidae.
ACUAUCUAUUUAAAAUUAAUAAAUUAAAUAAAUAUUUCUUUAUAUAUAUGUGUAGGUAAUAGCAAGUUAUGAAAUAAAAAAGUAUUCAAAAUAGUAUGCCAACAGAUGUUAUAGCACAAAUAUAUAUGUAACAUAUAAACUCAUGUGUAUUAAUGUACGUAUGUACACAUAACUUUAAUGCAGGGCCGAAUGAUUGAAAAAUUAACUUUUCCUUUCUUUUACAUAUGGUCAAUGCCACUUCACUGUCACAUGUAAACAUAUUUUUCAUUCGAGUAAUAGAAGCACAAUAUAGCCUACUAUGAUUCGUUAUUUACUAUAAUAACUUUAUUUCUUUUUUUAACAGUGAUUUUGAAUAUUAUCAAACCAUAUUUUUACGUCCAAGUAUAUGUGGUGCACACAAUUUGCUACUAGUUAUAUAAUUUUCACUGUGGCAUUACCUUUUUUAAAAGUAAUUUUCUUACCUCGAAGCUUUAGUAGUGAUCUAGCUGUAGCCGCCAUUCCUAAUUCGAAUCUUUUAAAAAGAUGUUGACCUAUUCAAAAGUGUAGAAAAGUAAAAAUUAAUCAGAUUGAGCAAAUUAAUUUUUCUUUCGUUCGUUCGUGUGUGAUAUCAGUGCCGACUUACAGCAGUAAAGUAAAAUGCAGCCAGGGAUGUUAUUUUUCAGUAAUACAAGAUUUAAGGGAACUUUUAUUCCCUCGAAUGGAAUAAAACCGUGAUAAAUCACUAAUUGAAAAGUGAUAGUGCUACACUAUUGAAAUAACAGAUGCCAUAUGCUAUAAAAACAGGGAAAAAUAAUCAUAAAAUGACAGUUUGUCAGUUUUAAAGAUACGAUCACCUGAUCGAAGUGUCAUAAAAACAAAUUUUAACAGGCAAGUUAAAAAUGGGGUAACCAAAUAUCUCUUUUGAAAUAAAAGAUAUUCGUUAAUCUCUGAUUUUCGACCAAAAGUUACAGAAUGAAAGUGUAGAUCACCCAUAUCUAUACGUGUUGUACUAAGUUACCUAAAUAACGAUUUCAAUCGUUAUUGUGAUCGAUCAACACUUUUUUCUGAAAACGUCAAAUAUUAAAGCAUCACAAUCGAAAGCAAAAUGUUAUAAAUAAAUUUACACAAUUAAUAAAUAAAUAUUUCUUUAUAAUGUAAAACUUUAUUUUAAAAUGUUAUAAUUCCUAGAAUCUCUAUCUGAUUGUAAAAUUGUCAUAACUUAGUUUCGCAGUUUUAUGAAUAUAUAAUUCCUACAUUAAUCUAUUUUUUUUUAAAUAUAAAAGACUUGUGACAGUUCUGGACAUGCAAAAAUGUACAUACAUUUAUACACCGGUGGUUUAAACUUAUUAUUUAUUGUAUAGACGUACUCAUGUACACUUCAUUGACAAGAUUUGUAAACAUUUAUAGCAUCUGCAUGUUUUUUGUUUU